RNAcentral lists this ribosomal RNA (465 nucleotides) under uncultured bacterium. Its description in RNAcentral is "bacterial SSU rRNA". It matches the Rfam family "Bacterial small subunit ribosomal RNA", at positions 330 to 793 of the family's 1533-position model. The record is from RNAcentral.
UCCAGACUCCUACGGGAGGCAGCAGUGAGGAAUAUUGGUCAAUGGGCGGGAGCCUGAACCAGCCAAGCCGCGUGAAGGAAGAAGGCGCCAGGCGUCGUAAACUUCUUUUGUCGGGGAACAAAGGGCGCCACGCGUGGCGUUGUGAGUGUACCCGAAGAAAAAGCAUCGGCUAACUCCGUGCCAGCAGCCGCGGUAAUACGGAGGAUGCGAGCGUUAUCCGGAUUUAUUGGGUUUAAAGGGUGCGUAGGCGGGCUGUUAAGUCAGCGGUCAAAUGUCGGGGCUCAACCCCGGCCUGCCGUUGAAACUGGCGGCCUCGAGUGGGCGAGAAGUAUGCGGAAUGCGCGGUGUAGCGGUGAAAUGCAUAGAUAUCACGCAGAACUCCGAUUGCGAAGGCAGCAUACCGGCGCCCUACUGACGCUGAGGCACGAAAGCGUGGGUAUCGAACAGGAUUAGAUACCCGUGUAC